RNAcentral lists this ribosomal RNA (252 nucleotides) under uncultured Bacteroidales bacterium. Its description in RNAcentral is "partial 16S ribosomal RNA". It matches the Rfam family "Bacterial small subunit ribosomal RNA", at positions 524 to 776 of the family's 1533-position model. Lineage: Bacteria; Pseudomonadati; Bacteroidota; Bacteroidia; Bacteroidales. The record is from RNAcentral.
UACGGAGGAUCCGAGCGUUAUCCGGAUUUAUUGGGUUUAAAGGGUGCGUAGGCGGGUUAUCAAGUCAGCGGUAAAAAUUCAGGGCUCAACCCUGUCGAGCCGUCGGAACUGGCAGUCUCGAGUUGGGGAGAAGUAUGCGGAAUGCGCGGUGUAGCGGUGAAAUGCAUAGAUAUCGCGCAGAACUCCGAUUGCGAAGGCAGCAUGCCGGCUCCACACUGACGCUGAGGCACGAAAGCGUGGGUAUCGAACAGG